This 515-nucleotide ribosomal RNA is filed under the name Serratia marcescens. RNAcentral describes it as "partial 23S ribosomal RNA". It matches the Rfam family "Bacterial large subunit ribosomal RNA", at positions 718 to 1230 of the family's 2925-position model. The record is from RNAcentral. Lineage: Bacteria; Pseudomonadati; Pseudomonadota; Gammaproteobacteria; Enterobacterales; Yersiniaceae.
AAACCCGGUGAUCUAGCCAUGGGCAGGUUGAAGGUUGGGUAACACUAACUGGAGGACCGAACCGACUAAUGUUGAAAAAUUAGCGGAUGACUUGUGGCUGGGGGUGAAAGGCCAAUCAAACCGGGAGAUAGCUGGUUCUCCCCGAAAGCUAUUUAGGUAGCGCCUCGUGAACUCAUCUUCGGGGGUAGAGCACUGUUUCGGCUAGGGGGCCAUCCCGGCUUACCAAACCGAUGCAAACUCCGAAUACCGAAGAAUGUUAUCACGGGAGACACACGGCGGGUGCUAACGUCCGUCGUGAAGAGGGAAACAACCCAGACCGCCAGCUAAGGUCCCAAAGUCAUGGUUAAGUGGGAAACGAUGUGGGAAGGCACAGACAGCCAGGAUGUUGGCUUAGAAGCAGCCAUCAUUUAAAGAAAGCGUAAUAGCUCACUGGUCGAGUCGGCCUGCGCGGAAGAUGUAACGGGGCUAAACCAUGCACCGAAGCUGCGGCAGCGACGCUUAGGCGUUGUUGGGUA